CCCUUUAUUGCCGUCAGCGGUGGAAUGGUUUUUUCUGGUGUGGUGCAGCUUUCUGCUUCUGAUCAGUGGCGCACCGCUUCUUUUAGCGGGAGCGCUGACGGUUACCGGCAUUGGUGGAGCCGUGGUGGUUUGUGUUGUCCUCAUCAUCGUAGCGCUGCUUAUGCUACUUGUGAUUUUCAUCGUGGAUUGUGUAGCGGAGAUGCUUACAGACUGUACUUCAUGGAGCGAAGGAAAACAGUGGGAGCGUCUCCCCUACGCCAUCGUCUUCAUUGCGCAGUGCAGCAAAUGCCAUCCGUCCGAUUCGAAGAGUUUCCGCGAUAUUUGUAAUGAAUCCGGUGCUGGCGCUGAUUGCGUUUGCCUGGGUUGUGGAGCAGAUUUUAUCUGGGAAACGCAUGGGUACGGCAUGGAUAGGCUCGUCCUUAUGAUCGCACUCUAUCGUACUGCAAACAGUACAGGGACGCGUACAAACGUCGCAUGAAGAGCAACUCCGGUCCCCAACAGUCCUUGCCGCCGCCAACCGAAGCUACGAAUGCAAUGCUGACC
This is a long non-coding RNA of Paramacrobiotus metropolitanus, 543 nucleotides long. RefSeq lists it as uncharacterized. The record is from RefSeq and is a predicted model, not a curated record. The transcript has 3 exons. Lineage: Eukaryota; Metazoa; Tardigrada; Eutardigrada; Parachela; Macrobiotidae.